AUAUAUAUAUAUAUAGUAUAGACCGUUCGAAUACCUUCUCGUUACUCACGAUAACCACUCCCAUUAUACCUGUGGUGGCACUCGACCUCGGAAAUUCCCAACGGUUUCGCGGCACAAAGCGCUUUAUCCUAAAAGCGCUAUGCCGACAAGCCUUAUGUGCCAUCGAUAUCCCUACGGCUCUUUCGCCGAAUUUUCGGGAGUACGCAUACGCGGCAAUCGUCGCGGACUUCUAACAAACGCGCGCGAUAUCGAUUGCCAACAAAGAAAAGAAUCGGCGUGGCUUUUGAAUAAAAGAGAUUCAGUCUGCCCCGAGCUGCGAAGUGCGAAAGAUUACGCGAAGCGAACGUAGAGAGACGAGUAGUCGACUUCCGAUAACCAUCAUUAAGCAUUGCUGUUAUCAAGCGUUGUUAAUCGUUAACUGUUGUCAAUCGUUGCUUGUUGUUAAUUGUUAUUUGUCGUCACUUGUUAAAAA
Molecule: unclassified non-coding RNA, 472 nt
Filed under: Bombus terrestris (buff-tailed bumblebee)
Lineage: Eukaryota; Metazoa; Arthropoda; Insecta; Hymenoptera; Apidae
Description: misc RNA ENSBTSG00005032480.1
Source: RNAcentral